Molecule: transfer RNA, 76 nt
Filed under: marine sediment metagenome
Description: tRNA-Ile
Rfam family: tRNA
About the family: Transfer RNA (tRNA) molecules are approximately 80 nucleotides in length. Their secondary structure includes four short double-helical elements and three loops (D, anti-codon, and T loops).
Source: RNAcentral
CCGCCAGUAGUUCAGUUGGUAGAGCAUUCGCCCGAUAAGCGAAAAGUCGGUGAUUCGAGUUCACCCUGGCGGACCA